UACAGAGGUCUCAAGCGUUGUUCGGAUUCAUUGGGCGUAAAGGGUGCGUAGGUGGCGGGGUUAGUCAGGUGUGAAAUCUCGGAGCUCAACUCCGAAACUGCACUUGAUACUGCCUUGCUAGAGUACUGGAGAGGAGAUUGGAAUUUACGGUGUAGCAGUGAAAUGCGUAGAUAUCAGGAGGAACACCGGUGGCGAAGGCGGAUCUCUGGGCCAUUACUGACGCUGAGGAGCGAAAGCGUGGGGAGCGAACAGG
Molecule: ribosomal RNA, 253 nt
Filed under: uncultured bacterium
Lineage: Bacteria
Description: partial 16S ribosomal RNA
Rfam family: Bacterial small subunit ribosomal RNA
Source: RNAcentral